RNAcentral lists this long non-coding RNA (561 nucleotides) under Equus asinus (donkey). RNAcentral describes it as "lncRNA (ENSEASG00005030565.1, ENSEASG00020018990.1)". The record is from RNAcentral. Lineage: Eukaryota; Metazoa; Chordata; Mammalia; Perissodactyla; Equidae.
CAUUUCCAAGCCUUCUUUACAACUAAAAUAUAAGUACGUGAAUGCAGUGUCAGCCAAAUGCAAAGAGCCCAGACUUUGAAUCAGAGAAGCCAUGAAGUGAAGUGGGGACUGUGCAGAAUUCAUUUUGGUGAGGCUGCCUGCAGACACACCCAAUUCCCAAAAGCAGCAGUGGCAACAGUUCCAGCAGCUGUAUUUCAUAUCUAGGAUUGUGUCUGUGGGUCAAGAAUUCAGAGUAGCGCAGCUGAGUGGCCAUGGCUCAGAGUCCCUCAGGAGUUUGCAGUCAAGGCCUUAGAUGGAGCUGCAAUCAUCUGAAGGUGUGACUCGAGAUGGAGGGCCUGCUUCCAGUGCAGAUGGAGUGGCUCACUGACAUGGCUGAAUCCGGCCAACUUCCCAGCACAUAGUAGGUUCUUAGUAAAUGUUUAGUGAGCACACGAACAAUGAAUAAUAUGUGACUCUGAGCAGUAAGGGGAGCCAAAGUCCUCGACAGUUAUCAACAGAUCAUAUUGAAUGGAGUGGACCUGAAGAAGACAAACUCAGUUCUCAGGAGGGAGUUACUGCAGG